RNAcentral lists this transfer RNA (72 nucleotides) under Camelus ferus (Wild Bactrian camel). It matches the Rfam family "tRNA". Rfam says of the family: Transfer RNA (tRNA) molecules are approximately 80 nucleotides in length. Lineage: Eukaryota; Metazoa; Chordata; Mammalia; Artiodactyla; Camelidae. The record is from Rfam by way of RNAcentral.
GAGGGUAGAGCUCAGUGGCAGAGUGUCUGCUUAGCAUGCACAAGGUCCUGGGUUGAAACCUCAGUAUCCCCG